Molecule: small nuclear RNA, 303 nt
Filed under: Nannospalax galili (Upper Galilee mountains blind mole rat)
Lineage: Eukaryota; Metazoa; Chordata; Mammalia; Rodentia; Spalacidae
Description: 7SK RNA (ENSNGAG00000006591.1)
Rfam family: 7SK RNA
About the family: 7SK was discovered as an abundant small nuclear RNA in the mid-70s but a possible function has only recently been suggested. Two independent studies have found that 7SK RNA binds the CDK9/cyclin T complex (known as elongation factor P-TEFb). P-TEFb activates transcription by phosphorylating the C-terminal domain of RNA polymerase II.
Source: RNAcentral
UUGUGGGCUAUCUGGCUGCAACAUCUGUCACAUCAUUAAUCACCAGAAUUGAUUUGGCUGAUCUGGCUGGCUUGGCAGGUUACCUCUUCCUCCCUCAAUGCUCCACAUGAGUCCCUCCUGAAUCUUCAUGCUCAGUCAAAGAGGACGACUGUUCAGUUGAAGAAGAGGAUGUCCUUCCUUGAUAGAGGAGGACUGGUAUAUGAGUAGCUGUGCUCCUGUGCUAGAACCUCUAAACAAGCUCUCAAGGUCCACUUGAACACCUCAUUAAAAAUAUUUUAUUAUUUCUGUUUUAUGUGUAUGAGU